RNAcentral lists this ribosomal RNA (1044 nucleotides) under Enterococcus casseliflavus. RNAcentral's name for it is "bacterial SSU rRNA". It matches the Rfam family "Bacterial small subunit ribosomal RNA", at positions 30 to 1060 of the family's 1533-position model. The record is from RNAcentral. Lineage: Bacteria; Bacillati; Bacillota; Bacilli; Lactobacillales; Enterococcaceae.
AGAAUGCGGGUGCCUAUACAUGCAGUUGAGCGCUUUUUCUUGCCCGUGUCUCGCCCGGCGAGGACGAGAGUGGGAAUCGGGUGAGUAACAUCUGCGUUUGAUGGCCAUCCAAAGGGGGUAACCGAUGGAAACUGGUGCUAAUACCGUUUAACCCUAUUUUCCGCAUUUGAGAGAGUUGAAAGGCGCUUUUGCGAUGAUGAUGGAUUGACCCGCGGUGCAUUAGCUAGUUGGGGACGUAACGGCUAUCCUACGUAACCAUGCAGAGCCGACCUGAGAGGGUGAUCGGCCUGCUGGGACUGAAACAUCAUCCAGACUCCUACGGGAGGCAAUCUUCGGGAAUCUUCGGCAAUGGAACAAAGUCUGACCGAGCGACGCCGCGUGGGUUUCGAAUGUUUUCGGAUCGUUGAACUCUGUUGUUAUAGAAGAACAAGGAUGACUCAUCAAUGUUCAUCCCUUGACGGUAUCUAACCGGAAAGCCACGGCUAACUACGUGCCAGCAGCCGCGGUAAUACGAGCGUGGCCAGCAUUUGUUGGGAUUUAUUGGGCGUAAAGCGAGCGCAUGCGGCUUCUUAAGUCUGAUGUGAAUCCCCCGUCUCUGCCUUGGAGGGUCAUUGAAAACUGUGCGACUUGAGUGCAGAAGAUUACAUGGGAAUUCCAUGUAUAGCGGUGAAAUGCGUAGGAUCUAUGGAGGAACACCGCGUGGCUCAGGCCGCUCUCUGGUCUGUAACUGACGCUGAGUGUCGAAAGCAUGGGAUGCGAACACCAUUUAUACCCUGGUAAUCCACGCCGUGCUCGAUGAGUGGUACUGUUGGAGGCUUUCCGCCCUUCAAUGCUGCAGCAACUCCAUCUUGCGCUCCGCCAUGGGGAGUAUGACCCCAGGUUGAAUCUCCGGGGACUGCACGGGGGCCGCACAUGUGGUGUACUUCGUAGUUUAAUUCCGAAAACACUCCCAGAACCUUACCUCGUCUUGACAUUCCUUUAGACAACCAAGUACUAUCGUACCCCUACACGGGCAAGAGACGGUGGCUGCCAUGCUCUGCUGCU